UGAAUCCCACUGAGCCUCUGGGCUUUUCUGAUGCUGGAGGCAAUACAUUCUCUCAGUUUGAGAAGAGAUGUUUGUGUGCUUGCAGUGGAAGCCUCUCCACAAAGACAGAGUCCCUCCUCCUUGCAGACCAUCUGGUUCUUUGUCUAGUAAGGCUCUGCCUCAGAGAACAACAUUUUGUUAAUUCUUCUUGGGAGCAAGGGAAGCCCUCACUUCCUUCAUCCUAGGCUUGACUGCUUUGAGGUACUGUUGAGGUGGUAUAUGGAGGUGAGAGAAAAAUGCCUCCUUGUCUGUGUGAGCCUCCUGUAACAAUGUAAACUAGUCAGAUAUUAGGCUUCACUCUGGAAGGUGGAGGUUGCGACAAGCUGAGAUCCUGCCAUUGCACUCCAGC
Molecule: long non-coding RNA, 388 nt
Filed under: Homo sapiens (human)
Lineage: Eukaryota; Metazoa; Chordata; Mammalia; Primates; Hominidae
Source: RNAcentral